AAAUAGUUUGCAGUUUGUUGUAGUCCCACUAAACCUCCUUUGUUGAUCUUGAAAUAUUUCAUCAUACAGAAGUGCAUGUAGAAUAGUAUCUCAAAUAAAUACCCUGCAAGCACCACCAAGCAUAACACAUCUUAAUAUUUUCCACAUUUGUUUCAGAUUUUAAAAAUAACACAUUGGAAAUAGAGAUGGAGCCUCUGUGUACCCUCUUCCCCUCCCAAAAGAUGAUUCCAAGCUUCAGCCCACCAGCUAGCUCCCUGCAUCACAGCCUAAGAUGUACACAACUCCAAGCCAUGCCUCGCCACCAAGGAUCUUCUUUGGCCACACUCAGUCCCUGCUCCGUAGAGAAGGGAAGUCGCACAGCUGCAGGAUAUAGGAGGC
Molecule: long non-coding RNA, 378 nt
Filed under: Heterocephalus glaber (naked mole-rat)
Lineage: Eukaryota; Metazoa; Chordata; Mammalia; Rodentia; Bathyergidae
Description: lncRNA (ENSHGLG00000040989.1)
Source: RNAcentral